CGUAGGACGCAAGCGUUAUCCGGAGUUACUGGGCGUAAAGCGCGGGCAGGCGGUUCUCCAAGUCUGAUGUGAAAGCGCUCGGCUCAACCGAGCGAUGCCAUUGGAAACUAGAGAACUGGAGUCUGACAGAGGUAGGCGGAAUUCCGGGUGGAGUGGUGAAAUGCGUAGAGAUCCGGAGGAACACCAGAGGCGAAGGCGGCCUACUGGGUCAGUACUGACGCUGAGCCGCGAAAGCCAGGGGAGCGAACGGGAUUAGAAACCCCGGUAGUCCUGGCCGUAAACGAUGUGUGCUGGGUGGUGGGGGGGUUUCCCUUCACUGCCGAAGCCAACGCGAUAAGCACACCGCCUGGGGAGUACGGUCGCAAGGCUA
Molecule: ribosomal RNA, 370 nt
Filed under: uncultured organism
Description: bacterial SSU rRNA
Rfam family: Bacterial small subunit ribosomal RNA
Source: RNAcentral